This is a non-coding RNA of Lutzomyia longipalpis, 46 nucleotides long. NCBI's taxonomy places the organism in Eukaryota, Metazoa, Arthropoda, Insecta, Diptera, Psychodidae. The record is from Rfam.
AAAAACGCCCUUUUCAGGGCGACAAAUUAAAUUGCAUGAAGAGUUU